UAUAUUCUUUAGCAUUUUUGCACAUACAUUUUAACAAAUAGGACUAAAUAUAUAUAUAUAUAUAUAUAUAUAUAAAAGUCCCUGAUUAGAACCAGAAGAAUACAUAAUUGCAUUUCUGAGAUAUUUCCUCAUCACAAAUGGAAUAAUAUAUUGUGGGAAAAGCUUGUAAGAAAUCCAGAAGAUAGUGUUGCUCUCCUCUCCAAGAAUGUAUUUAUUGCAAUAUCCCCAGAUGACAAGUAAUCACAAGAUUUCUUUCUAAAGAGAAAACUACUGUUUUGGUGUUACCUUCCUUUAUAGCUGAUAAGAUCUGCAUACAGUUUGCCUACUUAUAAACUGGAAUGAUGUUGAUGUACUGUUUCUGUCUUGCAAUAGAAGGCACAAACAUUUCUGCUUUCAAAUAUUUUUGGCUAAUGCUUCCUACACAGGAAGUGUUUUCCACUUCAUCUACACUGAGGUAAGACAGGAAUCUGUCUCAGGUUGUGUCGCUGUAUGCUUCUGAAAAAUAAUUCUACAGUCGGUAUACCAGCAAGAUGGUCUCCAUCAUUCCAAUUCCCCACCUGGCUGCUGGACCAACUUGCUUUGUGUGGCUUUGUCUAGAAACAUCAACAGGUUUCACAGAGCUCUGGCAGUUUGUUUUCUUUUAAUCAACCCAGAUUUGGUACUGCCGUUAGGAUUUCACAUGAGACUGAGUACUGGCUUCUGUCGUUUCUCAUAAUGCCGUGGACUAUUCCAGAAAGCAUCAAAAUGUCUUUUCUGGUACCUGUUUUCAUUAGUCCAGCUUACUUGCAGGUGCUAAAAAUUAUGCAGUCACUCAGUUCUAAAGUUUCCCUGAACUGGUACAAUCAAUAUUAAUUUGUUUAAUUAUCUCAUUGAAUAAAAUGAAGCUAUUAGUUUUUAAUGUCCUUUUAAAAAUAUAAAUAUUGUUUAGAGGUUGAGUUAUACAUCUAAUGGACAUUUAUAAAGGCAUAAGCUCAAAGAGACCUUGCUAUCCAACAGAAGUCUACUUAAAAGAGAUAUAAUUGCAUCUACCACAAUCCUACAUUGUUUUACACCAAAAUCUUCUGGGCUAAUAAUGCAUUGAAUCGCCAUAAUAGUGAAAAAUAAGCAUGCAAACAUAGGCAGUAACAGAAAAUGUCAAUGAAAGUGGGAUCUUGCAAUGGAAAUGGAGAAUAUGUUGUAUUAAGCCACACAUAUGGCAUGUUUAAAUCCAGAUGCAGCACAAACGCUUCAUAAGCCCUUGCCCCAUGCAAAUUAAAAAAAAUAAAUAGCAGUAUAAAUGAAGAUAAUUACAUUACUUUCAGCAUUCCUCUUUCUGACGCUGUAUAAAAUACUCAACCUACACUCAAAUACUGAAUAAAUCAAAUUGAAUCUAAUGGGUCUAUUAAAAGUGUACUGUUAAUUCAUCAUUAUAUAAUUUAGAACAGCAGUAUCACUUCGACAGAAAAGAUAAAUACAACGUGUCCUAACAAAUAGCAAUAAGUGAUUAUAACAGGUACUUAGAAAAGGAAUAUUUAUUUAGAUCAAUAUCCAAUUAAGGGUCUGGGUAUUCAGAGCCUACACUUUGGCUUCCCUUUAAAUUAGGAAAGUAAAAGCUAUUAGCAAACCUUAUUAGUUUCAUGCUGGUCUCUUGAGAUUUUUUUUCCACCUGAAUACUUUGUGUCCCUUAAAAGAUAAUUCUAAACACAGUGUGAUAUUGAUUGUUUUAAGGCACUAAUGUGAACGGAUCAAACACAGUGAAAGAAAAUUUUACUGUAUGCAUAGUCAAAUUCAGGGUUAAGAUCUGUUAACAUCAGAGAUUAAUAAUUUCCUCUUAAAUAUAAAAUUAACAUCUAAUCAUUAACUCAGGAAGAGAAUGGAGCCCUACUUAUCUUUGUAAUCACACGGACUCUGGGUAACAAUGCAGUGAACUGUCUGCAGAAACAUCAGAAAAAAUACAAACUUCAAAGACUGAAGUUGGCAGGCAUAUUUUUCCCCAUUCUUUUCCUUCUAAGUGAGUGGCUAAUAGCAAUGCAAGACCAUGCAAGUUGAUUUACUUUAUGUACUGAAUCACACAAGAUGAGAAGUGAGACUAAGGUUUGUUUACUGAAACAGUGUGUCUGUAUAAAAGAUGGACAAAGCUGGCUGAUUCCCCCACCCUGUGAGCUGAAAGCCUUCUGUGUCUCUCCCGCCUUCCGUCAGCUAAUGAACGUCAAUUGACAUAAGUGGCACAGUGACAUCCACUAAUUAGACUAUCACUUAACUCGGGAAGUGUGACAGCAUGAACAUGUUUUGGAGAACAAUCAGAAUACUGUAAAAGCAAUAUUAAAAUUCCUGGCUUUCUACAAAAUAUAUAUGUACAUUGCAUAUGUAUAUACACACAUACACAUAAGACAAAAUCAUUUCUAGUUUAAGACAGAAUUACUUUCAUUUCACAAUGAAAUUUUCAGAACUCAUCUUCAUGUUUCUCUAGUAACAGUGCUUCUUGAUGAAUACCAUGAGUGGCACAACAUUUAAGUUUCACAACUCUUGAUUUUCAUCCCCUUGAUAUCAGACAGUAUUCACUAUGGCAAUAACAUUACACAGUCACGUAAUCUCUGUAGAAGUAAAAAAUAAAAUAAAAUGAAAAUAAGUAUUUAGUAAAAAGAACUAAGUAAGAUAAAGAAUUAUUAAGAAGUUAGAGAAAUAAUAGCCCUAGACAAACUUAAGAGGAACAUGGCCAUCAUUUCCUUAAAUAGCCUCAAUAUUGUUUGUCUGCUGGUGUAUCUGCUUUUGAGAAAUUAGCAUUUGAAAUUUUCUUAUCAAGGUUUCUUUAGGGAGGUGUAAUUCAAGGCCUAUGAAAGGAACAGGAAAGUAAUCACUCACUCUUGAAAAGCGUGGGCUCACCUCUAAUCCCAUUCUUCUCCUCACUUCUGUAAAGCGUUAGUUCAAAGACAACUAUAUAGGUUUGAUUGUAUAUGUAUGUGUGUGUGUGUGUAUUUUGUAUACAGGAUAUAUACACACACACACACACACACACACACAUAUAUAUAUAUAUGUAUAUAUACAUACCACCUUCUCAGAGCCGUUAUAAAUUAUAUUACAUUACAUCAGUCUUCUUUGAAGUUUCCAUCACAUAUGAAAUAGAUGCCUUCCGGUUACAGAAUAUCCAGGCUUAGACAAGUGACGUGCUUUGUGUUAUUCAUUUAUUUGUCCUACACUCACAAUAUUUUUACGUUAUUCUUCACUGGCAGUACCACAGGACUGUCAGCAGAAACCACCACGGUAGUGCAGUUUUCUGGUGUUUGUGCUAUAAUCAAAUUAACAGAGAUUCUAGCACCUAUUGAAGCACUCAGAAUAUCCGCAAUCAGUUCUCCAAAUGAUUUAAACAAGGAGAUAGUCUUAUUUGCACAUCAGCAAUUUCCACUCCAACAGAAACAAGACUGAAGCAAAAGAAAGAAUUCUUUCCAACAAUUGCCACUGUUCAUACUCGAAGGAUGUUUAUUACAAGGAAACGUGAAGUGUGUUAGUGAAAGGAUAUAGCUAAUGUGACAUUAAAGUAAAACCAGCAUGAUGACCUACUUUUGUUUCUGCUGAAUUAAGUUACAUUUUGUCUUGCCUUGAGAGACUGAAUAUCAUUAGUUAGAGUACCAGGCAUAUUACGCGCUUACCUUCAGUGACAGAUCAAAGCAGCGAGGUAAUCCAGGGACAACAGUGUUGAGCUGUAUGACAGUUGUGCACAGUGGAGUCCUGGGAGGAGGUCACUGCCUAUACAGAAUAAGCAAACAGUGUAAGUUGCUGGGAUAAGUAUCCUUGGGAAAUAUCCUGGGAUAUUUCAGUGUAAGUGCAAUCCAAGAUGCUGAAAUCAAUACAAAUGUGAAACCCAUUUCUAAUUUGCUGUGUUAUGAGAAACGGAUGAGUAAAAACAUAGCGUCUUUUUGAAAUGGACUAUUUUACCUACUUACUUGAAUAUAUAUGUGCAUCAUCAAUACAUUGACAUCAUAAUUCAUCAAAAGGUAUCUAUGGAUACUCCAAACAUUCCUACUUCAAAAGAUUUGUAGGAUCAGAAAACUCCAACAACCUUGAUUCUGAACCUUGGAUGGCCUUGAGCCAUUCACAGCUAUGAACUUAAUCUUUGCUGAAACAAAUGUUUGUAAAGUGAAGUGGAUGUGGAUAAGAUUAUGAAAGAGCAAACCUUAUUUUGUGAUGAGCCCAGAGUUCCUGACACUGCACAGCAUGGACACCGUGGUAUUUGUUAUUCACUAACCUUUCGUGCACUUUCUAGUGUAAAGGACAUAAAAUAUCAACCAAUGUAACUUCCUUUUUUUUGUAUCUCGUAUGACUGCAUCUGUCAAAAAAGCUAACUUACUGAUUAAUGAACUCCAAAGAUAAUCUGUGAAAUUGUGUUCAACUAUUGAUCAUUUUCUGACAUUUCCUGCUGCAAAUAAAGGUGUUUGCUCUUUUUUCCACACACAUUUUUCCUCCUCUAUAUAUAAGUACAGAGAAUCUUUCAGUACGUUUACAACAAAUGAAGUCAAAGACUUCACUUCUGGUAGAAAUGACAGAAAGACUCAAAUGUGAUGCCCACAUUACAGUGAAUAUACUUUCAGAAAACUGAGGUCAUUUUUCAUUGUUUGCACAAGUUGGGAUUAAGUCUCUAAAACCAACACACUAUUUCUUCAAACAAAUCACUGUAUACACCUGAUUAAAUCAGAGUACUUUACAUUAGAAGGCAAAUGUGUUUUAGUAAAACCCCA
This 4712-nucleotide long non-coding RNA is filed under the name Gallus gallus (chicken). Its description in RNAcentral is "lncRNA (ENSGALG00010001607.1)". The record is from RNAcentral. Lineage: Eukaryota; Metazoa; Chordata; Aves; Galliformes; Phasianidae.